AUCGUCAUUGCUGCGGUUAAAAAGCUCGUAGUUGGAUCUGCGCCGCAGCACCCGGUCCGUCCAUUGGACGCGAACUGGGCUGCUCGGCUCUGCGCAGUCGGUUUUCCGUGCGCGUGCGUUUGCGCGUGCGCGUGCGGUGGCCGGCGAGUUUACCUUGAAAAAAUUAGAGUGCUCAAAGCGGGCUGACGCCUGAAUACUCGUGCAUGGAAUAAUGGAAUAGGAUCUCGGUUCUAUUUUGUUGGUUUUCUGAUCUGAGAUAAUGGUUAAGAGGGACGGACGGGGGCAUUCGUAUCGCUGCGUGAGAGGUGAAAUUCUUGGACCGUAGCGAGACGCCCGACUGCGAAAGCAUUUGCCAAGAAUGUCUUCAUUAAUCAAGAACGAAAGUCAGAGGUUCGAAGGCGAUCAGAUACCGCCCUAGUUCUGACCGUAAACGAUACCAACUAGCGUUCCGUCGGUGGUAAAUACGCCUUGACGGGCAGCUUCCCGGAAACGAAAGUCUUUCGGUUCCGGGGGAAGUAUGGUUGCAAAGCUGAAACUUAAAGAAAUUGACGGAAGGGCACCACCAGGAGUGGAGCCUGCGGCUUAAUUUGACUCAACACGGGAAAACUCACCUGGCCCGGACACCGUGAGGAUUGACAGAUUGAGAGCUCUUUCUUGAUUCGGUGGUUGGUGGUGCAUGGCCGUUCUUAGUUGGUGGAGUGAUUUGUCUGGUUUAUUCCGAUAACGAGCGAGACUCUAGCCUACUAAAUAGUCACCGGAUGAGCGUGUCCGGUGAGACUUCUUAGAGGGACAAGCGGUGCUUAGCCGCAUGAAGUUGAGCAAUAACAGGUCUGUGAUGCCCUUAGAUGUCCAGGGCUGCACGCGCGCUACACUGGAGGAAUCAGCGUGUCGUAACCAUUGCCGAGAGGCGCUGGUAACCCCUUGAAAAUCCUCCGUGAUCGGGAUCGGGAAUUGCAAUUAUUUCCCUUGAACGAGGAAUUCCUAGUAAGUGUGAGUCAUCAGCUCACGUUGAUUACGUCCCUGCCCUUUGUACACACCGCCCGUCGCUGCCCGGAACUGAGCCGUUUCGAGAAAUGCAGGGACCGCUGUUUCGCCGGCGCACAUUGGGUGUCGGCGAUUCUCUGGUGGAAAGCGCCUUAAUCGCGAUGGCUUGAACCGGGCAAAAGUCGUAACAAGGUUUCC
This 1182-nucleotide ribosomal RNA is filed under the name Spinitectus petterae. RNAcentral's name for it is "SSU rRNA". It matches the Rfam family "Eukaryotic small subunit ribosomal RNA", at positions 603 to 1804 of the family's 1831-position model. The record is from RNAcentral. Lineage: Eukaryota; Metazoa; Nematoda; Chromadorea; Rhabditida; Rhabdochonidae.